GCCAGAAUAUUCAUUCCCAACUUAUUGGGUAAAAGAAAGGAGCCACCAUUAUAGUGGGGAAUGUUGACCAAUUAGCCUUGUUAUGUUUGGCCAUACAAACCAUGCUGCUAUGAGACUGGCACGUUAAAUUGUUUCGAUUCUCAAAUCUGUCUGAGAUUAUAUUCGACUCUACCCAAUAAGUCGAGAAUGAAUAUUCUGGCUUUGUAUCUAA
Paramuricea clavata is the source of this 211-nucleotide non-coding RNA. Lineage: Eukaryota; Metazoa; Cnidaria; Anthozoa; Malacalcyonacea; Plexauridae. The record is from the annotation of a GenBank genome assembly.